RNAcentral lists this ribosomal RNA (497 nucleotides) under uncultured bacterium. RNAcentral's name for it is "bacterial SSU rRNA". It matches the Rfam family "Bacterial small subunit ribosomal RNA", at positions 15 to 507 of the family's 1533-position model. The record is from RNAcentral.
GAUCCUGGCUCAGAUUGAACGCUGGCGGCAUGCUUUACACAUGCAAGUCGAACGGUAACAGGUCUUCGGAUGCUGACGAGUGGCGAACGGGUGAGUAAUGUAUCGGAACGUGCCCAAUAAUGGGGGAGUAACUAAUCGAAAGGUUAGCUAAUACCGCAUACGCCCUACGGGGGAAAGCAGGGGAGUCUUCGGACCUUGCGUUAAUGGAGCGGCUGAUAUCUGAUUAGCUAGUAGGUGAGGUAAAGGCUCACCUAGGCUUCGAUCAGUAGCUGGUCUGAGAGGACGACCAGCCACACUGGAACUGAGACACGGUCCAGACUCCUACGGGAGGCAGCAGUGGGGAAUUUUGGACAAUGGGCGCAAGCCUGAUCCAGCCAUUCCGCGUGAGUGAAGAAGGCCUUCGGGUUGUAAAGCUCUUUCGCAAGGGAAGAAACGAUGCCGACGAAUAAUCGGUGUUAAUGACGGUACCUUGAUAAGAAGCACCGGCUAACUACGUG